UACGUAGGUGGCAAGCGUUGUCCGGAAUUACUGGGCGUAAAGGGCGCGUAGGCGGCCUGUUAAGUCGGACGUGAAAUCCCUCGGCUCAACCGGGGAACUGCGUCCGAUACUGGCGGGCUUGAAUUCGGGAGAGGGAUGUGGAAUUCCAGGUGUAGCGGUGAAAUGCGUAGAUAUCUGGAGGAACACCGGUGGCGAAGGCGGCAUCCUGGACCGACAUUGACGCUGAGGCGCGAAAGCCAGGGGAGCAAACGGG
Molecule: ribosomal RNA, 253 nt
Filed under: uncultured bacterium
Lineage: Bacteria
Description: partial 16S ribosomal RNA
Rfam family: Bacterial small subunit ribosomal RNA
Source: RNAcentral